Molecule: transfer RNA, 74 nt
Filed under: Deltaproteobacteria bacterium
Lineage: Bacteria; Pseudomonadati; Myxococcota; Myxococcia
Description: tRNA-Arg
Rfam family: tRNA
About the family: Transfer RNA (tRNA) molecules are approximately 80 nucleotides in length. Their secondary structure includes four short double-helical elements and three loops (D, anti-codon, and T loops).
Source: RNAcentral
GCGCCUAUAGCUCAAUUGGAUAGAGCAUUGGGCUUCGAACCCAAAGGCUGGGGGUUCGAGUCCCUCUGGGCGCA